RNAcentral lists this non-coding RNA (470 nucleotides) under Mus musculus (house mouse). Its description in RNAcentral is "Eukaryotic large subunit ribosomal RNA". It matches the Rfam family "Eukaryotic large subunit ribosomal RNA", at positions 3018 to 3401 of the family's 3401-position model. The record is from Rfam by way of RNAcentral. Lineage: Eukaryota; Metazoa; Chordata; Mammalia; Rodentia; Muridae.
AAUUCAGUCCAUAGGAUUCUACCUUCAGUCCCUCCCUCUCAUGUCUCUAUCACAGGCAUUUGGUGUAUGUGCUUGGCUGAGGAGCCAAUGGGGCGAAGCUACCAUCUGUGGGAUUAUGACUGAACGCCUCUAAGUCAGAAUCCCGCCCAGGCGGAACGAUACGGCAGCGCCGAAGGAGCCUCGGUUGGCCCCGGAUAGCCGGGUCCCCGUCCGUCCCCGCUCGGCGGGGUCCCCGCGUCGUCCCCGUCGGGACCGGGGUCCGGUGCGGAGAGCCGUUCGUCUUGGGAAACGGGGUGCGGCCGGAAAGGGGGCCGCCCUCUCGCCCGUCACGUUGAACGCACGUUCGUGUGGAACCUGGCGCUAAACCAUUCGUAGACGACCUGCUUCUGGGUCGGGGUUUCGUACAUAGCAGAGCAGCUCCCUCGCUGCGAUCUAUUGAAAGUCUGAUUAUUUCCUUUUCCCCAGUGUAC